GGAGCCCUGGGCAGCUGCCUGGACUGGCCGGAGAGCACCCUACCCCGCUACUGGGAAGACCUGCCAGAGCUUCCCCGCGCCACCUACGACGAGGAGCCCGUAGGAGCUUCCCCGCUACCGUGCUCUUACCCCGAGGAACCCCCGGAGCAGGAUUGGCCGGACUUCCCCGGGGAACUACCCGAUCUACCCCCCAGCCCGGGUUGUGAGGAGCCCAUGCAGUGGGACUUCCCGGGACCAGACGCCGUGGACCAGGCUGUCAUUAGACACCCUGGCACUUCCUCAUUCAUUAAUGACUCGUGUUCCAACAACCUAGCUAUGAAAGAGGCUCCACGCUCACCUGCAGUAUCAUUCCUGAAAGCCUGGCUACUUGUAAGCAGACCCCUCCCAAGUGCAAGUGGACAUCUUGUCCCUACCCUAGCACACCCACACAGCCUUUGCAGGAGCUGCAGCGGCUACCAUUGGCAGGCAUGAAGAGCAAUAGAGCUGUACGCCAAUCAUCGUGUGUUGUUUGUCCCCCUUCAUAGCCAACCCACAGGCAAUGUGUCUGUUGCAGCAGUCAGCUACAAGAAGUGGUCCUUUAGUUCAAGCUGCAGAGGCUCAUUUUUAGCUCAGGAAGUUCCCUCGUUCAGUUCACCGUGUUGGAUGAGAUAACGCAAGUCAUGCUUCUUCCAGGCAGGCCUGCCUAUCCCACUCUGAGAGACAAGGUGGGUGAGGUCAUACUUUGUAUGGAACCAAUUUCUGUUGUCAAGAGAGACAAGCAUAUGAGCUGACACAGAGCUUUUCUCCUGAGUCGGGAACACACAAGCUUUACCUGGUGCUGUGAGCAAGCCAUCCGCUUAGCUCCGAGUCAACAUUUUCAGAGAUGCCCAGCCUGCAAUACCAUGGCAGGUAGCUUGCAGCUCAGGCUGAGGUGCACCACCAUUGCUGUGUCACGCAUUCUUCAGCUUCGCUCGAGUCCUUGGGCAUUUCUACAUGGUGCCAUCUUCACAGGCUGUAGGAUAUUUAAGCAAUAAUGGUCACCGAGGGGAGGUGUUUCCUGGCAGACAACGACAACUAGGUGAGGUUAAAUGCCUGUAGCCAUCUAUGAAGUGCCCAAUUAACUGCCUCAUGCCCACCCUAGCAUGUCUUAUUGUUAUUAUUAGGGUCUCACCACUUAAUUUAACAAGACUUAACUAGUUGUUAUAUUUUGGCCACAUCCCUUCCACCUCACCCCACUCCCACCUAAGCCUUCCUCCCCACCCUGAGUCACAUCACCCUUCCACCUCCAAAGACCUGUUCCCCCAGCCAUUCGUCUCCAACCCCAUCACCCCCUCUCCCCCCAUGACAUUCUCUCUCACCUCCAGAUGCACGCCCCCUCCCCAAGCUACCCCAUCACUUUAAAACAACCUUCUUACACCCACACAGCCACCCUAGUCACCUUCCCCUCGCACUCCUCUAUGACACAUCACCUCAAAACCACCACCUCCGUUCACCUCGUCACAUGUCCCCUUAUUUCCCAUGCCUCAGGGACAGAUCCACCAUCUGACUCCCCCAUAAUUGUCAGUCCCUCCCUCCUGCCACCAGGGCUCCCACCCCAAUCAUGACAAUCUUAAGAAAAGUGUCCUGGUUUGGUGGAAUUCAAAAUCUGUUCACCUUUAGCUGUUAAAAUGUCUUUCACUUUCCUGAGUACUAAAAAUGCCUGUGGAGAUCAAUCACACAGAGAGAGAAAGAGAGAGAAGCAAAGGCAUAAAAGGCAGAGCAGAGUGCAUUUAAGCCACGUCUGCACUUAGAGCUGGACUCCUUGGACAUGUACUCAGGGUGGCUAGCUUGUGCCACUGCUCACUACUGCUUGUAAUACUGUGAAUACACUGCUAUUUUUAGCGUGCUAGCUUUGACGAGAACUAAUGCAAGAAGGUUUACAUGAGCUGAGAAUCCCGGUCCUAGCUCCAAGUGUAGGCAUAGCCUUAGGGGGAUUUGGUAAAUAGUGUAGGCACAAAAAUUUGACCUGCCUUCAAACUAUUAAGAUCUUGUGCAGAACAACCCACAGAUUGUCAGUAUCUGUAGAUGAUGAGGUGGAAACUGGCAGGUACAGAGCACAGAGGAGAGACUGUGCAGCCAAUGUAGAGAAAGAGACACUUUCUACUCCAGUGUCCCUAAUAGGAGGAAUUCUCUCCAAUUAUCAGGAAUCUUAAAAGAAGAGUGCUCACCAAAAAGUUAUUAGAAAAACCAGUGCCUGACCCUGGGAGAUAGGAGAGAGAUGCCAAACAUGGCAUCAUGCCUCCAGAUCAGGAGUGGGCACUAAUGACAAAGGGGGAUCAAACCCCAGACACAGUGUGUAAGCUAUCCUGGGUGGGUGGUACCUGCCUUCAACAGAUACCCCAGGGGUCUGUCUUUUCCUUACCCUUUGCCUACACUCAUAUAGCUUGUGCUGCCAAUAAAGUCUCAAUGAAUUAAA
This is a long non-coding RNA of Mauremys mutica (yellowpond turtle), 2434 nucleotides long. RefSeq lists it as uncharacterized. The record is from RefSeq and is a predicted model, not a curated record. Lineage: Eukaryota; Metazoa; Chordata; Testudines; Geoemydidae. The transcript has 2 exons.